RNAcentral lists this ribosomal RNA (1529 nucleotides) under Bacteroides thetaiotaomicron. RNAcentral describes it as "bacterial SSU rRNA". It matches the Rfam family "Bacterial small subunit ribosomal RNA". The record is from RNAcentral. Lineage: Bacteria; Pseudomonadati; Bacteroidota; Bacteroidia; Bacteroidales; Bacteroidaceae.
ACAAUGAAGAGUUUGAUCCUGGCUCAGGAUGAACGCUAGCUACAGGCUUAACACAUGCAAGUCGAGGGGCAGCAUUUCAGUUUGCUUGCAAACUGGAGAUGGCGACCGGCGCACGGGUGAGUAACACGUAUCCAACCUGCCGAUAACUCGGGGAUAGCCUUUCGAAAGAAAGAUUAAUACCCGAUGGUAUAAUCAGACCGCAUGGUUUGAUUAUUAAAGAAUUUCGGUUAUCGAUGGGGAUGCGUUCCAUUAGGCAGUUGGUGAGGUAACGGCUCACCAAACCUUCGAUGGAUAGGGGUUCUGAGAGGAAGGUCCCCCACAUUGGAACUGAGACACGGUCCAAACUCCUACGGGAGGCAGCAGUGAGGAAUAUUGGUCAAUGGGCGCAGGCCUGAACCAGCCAAGUAGCGUGAAGGAUGACUGCCCUAUGGGUUGUAAACUUCUUUUAUAUGGGAAUAAAGUUUUCCACGUGUGGAAUUUUGUAUGUACCAUAUGAAUAAGGAUCGGCUAACUCCGUGCCAGCAGCCGCGGUAAUACGGAGGAUCCGAGCGUUAUCCGGAUUUAUUGGGUUUAAAGGGAGCGUAGGUGGACAGUUAAGUCAGUUGUGAAAGUUUGCGGCUCAACCGUAAAAUUGCAGUUGAUACUGGCUGUCUUGAGUACAGUAGAGGUGGGCGGAAUUCGUGGUGUAGCGGUGAAAUGCUUAGAUAUCACGAAGAACUCCGAUUGCGAAGGCAGCUCACUGGACUGCAACUGACACUGAUGCUCGAAAGUGUGGGUAUCAAACAGGAUUAGAUACCCUGGUAGUCCACACAGUAAACGAUGAAUACUCGCUGUUUGCGAUAUACAGUAAGCGGCCAAGCGAAAGCAUUAAGUAUUCCACCUGGGGAGUACGCCGGCAACGGUGAAACUCAAAGGAAUUGACGGGGGCCCGCACAAGCGGAGGAACAUGUGGUUUAAUUCGAUGAUACGCGAGGAACCUUACCCGGGCUUAAAUUGCAUUUGAAUAAUCUGGAAACAGGUUAGCCGCAAGGCAAAUGUGAAGGUGCUGCAUGGUUGUCGUCAGCUCGUGCCGUGAGGUGUCGGCUUAAGUGCCAUAACGAGCGCAACCCUUAUCUUUAGUUACUAACAGGUCAUGCUGAGGACUCUAGAGAGACUGCCGUCGUAAGAUGUGAGGAAGGUGGGGAUGACGUCAAAUCAGCACGGCCCUUACGUCCGGGGCUACACACGUGUUACAAUGGGGGGUACAGAAGGCAGCUACCUGGUGACAGGAUGCUAAUCCCAAAAGCCUCUCUCAGUUCGGAUCGAAGUCUGCAACCCGACUUCGUGAAGCUGGAUUCGCUAGUAAUCGCGCAUCAGCCAUGGCGCGGUGAAUACGUUCCCGGGCCUUGUACACACCGCCCGUCAAGCCAUGAAAGCCGGGGGUACCUGAAGUACGUAACCGCAAGGAGCGUCCUAGGGUAAAACUGGUAAUUGGGGCUAAGUCGUAACAAGGUAGCCGUACCGGAAGGUGCGGCUGGAACACCUCCUUU